This 642-nucleotide ribosomal RNA is filed under the name uncultured archaeon. RNAcentral describes it as "bacterial SSU rRNA". It matches the Rfam family "Archaeal small subunit ribosomal RNA", at positions 772 to 1448 of the family's 1478-position model. The record is from RNAcentral.
CAUCGGGACCUCUUCGAGAGGCUCCGGUGCUGAAGGGAAGCCGGAGAGUGUGCUACCUGGGAAGUAUAGUCGCAAGGCCGAAACUUAAAGGAAUUGGCGGGGAGACACUACAACGGGUGACGCGUGCGGUUUAAUUUAAUUAUACACAGAGAAUCUCACCAGGAGCGACAGCAGAAUGAAGGUCAGUCUGAAGGGCUUACCUGACACGCUGAGAGGAGUUGCAUGUCCGACGUCAGCCUGUGCCGUGAGGUGACCUGUUAAAUCAGGUAACAGGCGAGACCCACAUGUAUAUUUAUUUUUAUAUACAGAUUGCCUUGGUAACAAGGAUGAAAGUGUGGGCAACGUUAGGUCCAUAUAGCCCGAAUCCCCUGGGCAACACGCGCGCGUCAACGGUGAAUACAACGGGACGCAACUCCGAAAGGAGAAGCUAAUCUCUUAAAGUUCAUCUCAGUCUAGAUCGAGGUCUGUAACCCGGCCUCGUGACAAUGGAAUCCGUAGUAAUCGUUUGUCAUCAACGAACGGUGAAUAUGUCACUGUCUCUUGCACACACUGCCCGUCAAACCAACCGAGUUUAUUUAUGGUGAAACUUUUCGAAGGAGAACUUUGGGUAGACAAGGUAGGUUAAGUCGUAACAAGGUAGCC